CCCUUAGAGUUUGAUCCUGGCUCAAGACGAACUCUGGCGGCACGCCUAACACAUGCAAGUCGAACGGACGAGGAGGAGCUUGCUUCUCCGAGUUAGUGGCGGACGGGUGGGUAACACGUGAGCAACCUACCCUUGAGAGGGGGAUAGCUUCUGGAAACGGAUGGUAAUACCCCAUAACAUAUAUUUUAGGCAUCUAAGAUAUAUCAAAGAAAUUCGCUCAAGGAUGGGCUCGCGUCUGAUUAGAUAGUUGGUGAGGUAACGGCCCACCAAGUCGACGAUCAGUAGCCGGACUGAGAGGUUGAACGGCCACAUUGGGACUGAGACACGGCCCAGACUCUUACGGGAGGCAGCAGUGGGGAAUAUUGCACAAUGGGGGGAACCCUGAUGCAGCGAUGCCGCGUGGAGGAAGAAGGUUUUCGGAUUGUAAACUCCUUUUAACAGGGACGAUAAUGACGGUACCUGAAGAAAAAGCUCCGGCUAACUACGUGCCAGCAGCCGCGGUAAUACGUAGGGAGCGAGCGUUGUCCGGAAUUACUGGGUGUAAAGGGAGCGUAGGCGGGACGGUAAGUCAGGUGUGAAAUAUACGUGCUCAACAUGUAGACUGCACUUGAAACUGCUGUUCUUGAGUGAAGUAGAGGUAAGCGGAAUUCCUAGUGUAGCGGUGAAAUGCGUAGAUAUUAGGAGGAACAUCGGUGGCGAAGGCGGCUUACUGGGCUUUUACUGACGCUGAGGCUCGAAAGCGUGGGGAGCAAACAGGAUUAGAUACCCUGGUAGUCCACGCUGUAAACG
This 789-nucleotide ribosomal RNA is filed under the name uncultured bacterium. RNAcentral's name for it is "bacterial SSU rRNA". It matches the Rfam family "Bacterial small subunit ribosomal RNA", at positions 1 to 808 of the family's 1533-position model. The record is from RNAcentral.